This is a long non-coding RNA of Dermacentor andersoni, 1071 nucleotides long. RefSeq lists it as uncharacterized. Lineage: Eukaryota; Metazoa; Arthropoda; Arachnida; Ixodida; Ixodidae. The record is from RefSeq and is a predicted model, not a curated record.
AGCAUGUACGCAGACAUGACUGGUUACUGGUUUCUAGUUAGUGUUAGAAAAAUUAGGCGUAUGAAAGGGGUCCUAAGCCUAUGGUUUAGGAGUCUUGGUGAUGAAAAGGGGCGGUGACUGGCCUCACAGAGCUUGUCUGUGUUUCAUUAUGUUCGCUGCGUCGAUUCUCGGCCUUUAUUGUCGAUCGCUCGUAUUCGUUCAUGGCAAACACCCGCUACACUGUGUUGCUGUAUAAAAGUUAGUUAGAGCUAAUGCUACCAAAUAUGCGCAUUACUUAAGAACUGCACAGCCUACUUGUUUGUUAGAAGCCUUGCGCUUUGAUUGCCCGGGCAUUGUAAACUGAUUAUGAGUGGCUCACUUAAGACACAAUUGAAUGAUUCUAUUAUAAAUCACGCGAUCUACCAUCCUAAGUAAAGCAGGGUGGGCUUAGAGUUCAAAAAUCUGCACAGCAGAUGAAAAAUUUCAGUCUUACAUUUCUGCCUUAUCUUUCCCUUCACCUACUACAAUAAUAAAAGACAGACUCACGUGCGCACCCACCGAUGCACAAAGAUCAGUAACCCUUUCUUGAGAAUUUGCUCACGAAAGCUAGAAGUGCAUAAAUAUUUACGGACUCCAAAAUGCUCUAAUGAUUUACCUUGAAAGGUGAGUACUUGUGUCUUCCUGCUUAAAGCGUUGCUUGGGGUGUUAACGCUUAUUUAUCGAUGAAAGAGACACACGAUGCAAUAUUUGCUGAUACAUUGCAAAUAUAUACACUGCAGGUUUGGUACACUGCUCCCUGAUUCACUUUACAACGACGAAGCGUCCGAACAACACUCUCCCAAGGAGUGUUUGAUGCAAUAACACAGUCGUAUGCAAUGCAAAAUGUCGUUCAAAGCAGGUACGGCCUCCACUUAUCUGUUCGCCAAAGCUCGAAAGCAUCUAAAAGGUCAUAGGAGUGAUUGGCAAUGCUGUCUGCACUGCCGCAGUGUUCGGGUCUGCCUCGACUAGGUACGCCUCUAUAGACAGCGUGUAUGAACGAAGUACGGCGUCCACCCGAAACGUGUGCUCCCGGUCGUCUUUGUCGACCGAACG